Long non-coding RNA from Eleginops maclovinus (Patagonian blennie), 1335 nucleotides. RefSeq lists it as uncharacterized. The transcript has 6 exons. Lineage: Eukaryota; Metazoa; Chordata; Actinopteri; Perciformes; Eleginopidae. The record is from RefSeq and is a predicted model, not a curated record.
CCGGCCACUAGAGGGCAGUGUCACUGCUGUCGCUGCCCGGUUAUGCCGCACUCUGACCCGGUAGUGCCGAGCGGCCAUUUUAGUUUCAACAUUGUUCAUUCACUCCGCCUCGAGUUGAGACGUUCGUUCAUUCAUUCAUGAAGGAGCAGAAAAACGGACUUCUACUGUGCAGCUAACUAGCUAACGUUAGCGGACCGGCUAACAAGAAAAUCGCGGGAGUUUAGGAGGAUGCUCCAGUCAGUCGGCAGUGAAAACUGGAAUGUUUGAAACCUCCACCAUCAUUGUGUUUGGACACCGGCAAUAUUCGCCUUAUUCACUCCGAACGUUCGAACAGCCUGAGGGGUACACUUAUGACUUCCGGUAAUUCUCAUAGCAAGUGAUGGCGCCUCACUGCUGUGUGCCCCAAUGCACUUCAUCACACAGGAAAAAGUCUUACAGAGGACAAACCUUUCACCGUUUCCCAAAUGAUCAGGGAAUACGCCAACAGUGGAUAAAGAACAUAAGAAGAGAUCCUGGUUGUCAUUUUAAGAUACACGCAUACACAAAAGUGUGCUCGGAACAUUUCCUCCCAGACUGCUUUGUGAAAACCCAGGCUGGCAUCACUAAACGCAUCACUAAACUGGAAAAGGGUGCAGUACCAACUGUGUUUGCAUGGAGUUCUUCAAAUCCAGAUAGGAGGAUGGUUGUGAGAACUGCAAGUAAUGUUUCCACGGACCUUGAUGAUCAACAAGGUGCGAAUGUGUUGAGUGAACAGACGCCCCCUCCACACCCAGACCAUGACUAUGCUCUACUGCCUCCCCCAGGCGAAUAUCAACUUGAGGAAGCCCGAAGAAAAAUUAGCCCAAGUGGACAUUUCAGUGCAGAUGAAGUUCAACAGACACAAGCAAUAGCAAGACUUCUGAUUCAUGUGGAGCGCGCUAUUAGACGGAUUAAAGAGUACCAUAUUUUUGAUAAAGUCUUACCCAUGACACUGGUGGGCUCUGUCAACCAACUAUGGGCCGUUUGUGCCAUUUUAACAAAUUUCCAAGGUCCUCUCUUUUGAAAUUGUAAUGUUAGUGUAAAUAUCUACCAAUCUUUAUGAAUCUAUGCAAAACCUUAACCUUUAUUAUUGUUUCUUUUUACGAAUCUAUACAAAACUUUCACUGUUAAUAUUGUUAAUUUUUUUAAUGAAUCUAGACAAUACGUGAACUUGUAUUGUUUGUUUUUGCCUAACCCUAACUAAAAUGUGUUUUCUUCUACAUACUUGAACUGACAUGGUUAUGUUUACAAACCCAUACAAAGCUCUUAAAACACUGAUAAAACUUGUAAAGAAUAAAGUACAAUUUUAUUACACAU